This 437-nucleotide ribosomal RNA is filed under the name uncultured Microbacteriaceae bacterium. RNAcentral's name for it is "bacterial SSU rRNA". It matches the Rfam family "Bacterial small subunit ribosomal RNA", at positions 342 to 791 of the family's 1533-position model. Lineage: Bacteria; Bacillati; Actinomycetota; Actinomycetes; Micrococcales; Microbacteriaceae. The record is from RNAcentral.
CGGGGGGCAGCAGUGGGGAAUAUUGCACAAUGGGCGAAAGCCUGAUGCAGCAACGCCGCGUGAGGGAUGAAGGCCUUCGGGUUGUAAACCUCUUUUAGUUGGGAAGAAGCGAAAGUGACGGUACCAACAGAAAAAGCACCGGCUAACUACGUGCCAGCAGCCGCGGUAAUACGUAGGGUGCAAGCGUUGUCCGGAAUUAUUGGGCGUAAAGAGCUCGUAGGCGGUUUGUCGCGUCUGCUGUGAAAAUCCGAGGCUCAACCUCGGACCUGCAGUGGGUACGGGCAGACUAGAGUGCGGUAGGGGAGAAGGGAAUUCCUGGUGUAGCGGUGGAAUGCGCAGAUAUCAGGAGGAACACCAAUGGCGAAGGCACUUCUCUGGGCCGUAACUGACGCUGAGGAGCGAAAGCGUGGGGAGCGAACAGGAUUAGAUACCCGAGU